This 433-nucleotide ribosomal RNA is filed under the name uncultured bacterium. RNAcentral's name for it is "partial 16S ribosomal RNA". It matches the Rfam family "Bacterial small subunit ribosomal RNA", at positions 29 to 507 of the family's 1533-position model. The record is from RNAcentral.
AACGAACGCUGGCGGCAUGCCUAACACAUGCGAGUCGAACGAGACCUUCGGGUCUAGUGGCGCACGGGUGCGUAACGCGUGGGAACCUGCCCUUAGGUUCGGAAUAACUCCCCGAAAGGGGUUCUAAUACCGGAUAAUGUCUUCGGACCAAAGAUUUAUCGCCUUUGGAUGGGCCCGCGUUGGAUUAGCUAGUUGGUAGGGUAAAAGCCUACCAAGGCGACGAUCCAUAGCUGGUCUGAGAGGAUGAUCAGCCACACUGGGACUGAGACACGGCCCAGACUCCUACGGGAGGCAGCAGUGGGGAAUAUUGGACAAUGGGCGAAAGCCUGAUCCAGCAAUGCCGCGUGAGUGAUGAAGGCCUUAGGGUUGUAAAGCUCUUUUACCCGGGAUGAUAAUGACAGUACCGGGAGAAUAAGCUCCGGCUAACUCCGUG